RNAcentral lists this non-coding RNA (32 nucleotides) under Rattus norvegicus (Norway rat). Lineage: Eukaryota; Metazoa; Chordata; Mammalia; Rodentia; Muridae. The record is from RNAcentral.
UGCUAGAUUAAUGUCUAAAGCUUGAUGACUUC